RNAcentral lists this ribosomal RNA (693 nucleotides) under uncultured Escherichia sp. RNAcentral's name for it is "bacterial SSU rRNA". It matches the Rfam family "Bacterial small subunit ribosomal RNA", at positions 28 to 710 of the family's 1533-position model. Lineage: Bacteria; Pseudomonadati; Pseudomonadota; Gammaproteobacteria; Enterobacterales; Enterobacteriaceae. The record is from RNAcentral.
AUUGAACGCUGGCGGCAGGCCUAACACAUGCAAGUCGAAUGGUAACAGGAAACAGCUUGCUGUUUCGCUGACGAGUGGCGGACGGGUGAGUAAUGUCUGGGAAACUGCCUGAUGGAGGGGGAUAACUACUGGAAACGGUAGCUAAUACCGCAUAACGUCGCAAGACCAAAGAGGGGGACCUUCGGGCCUCUUGCCAUCAGAUGUGCCCAGAUGGGAUUAGCUAGUAGGUGGGGUAACGGCUCACCUAGGCGACGAUCCCUAGCUGGUCUGAGAGGAUGACCAGCCACACUGGAACUGAGACACGGUCCAGACUCCUACGGGAGGCAGCAGUGGGGAAUAUUGCACAAUGGGCGCAAGCCUGAUGCAGCCAUGCCGCGUGUAUGAAGAAGGCCUUCGGGUUGUAAAGUACUUUCAGCGGGGAGGAAGGGAGUAAAGUUAAUACCUUUGCUCAUUGACGUUACCCGCAGAAGAAGCACCGGCUAACUCCGUGCCAGCAGCCGCGGUAAUACGGAGGGUGCAAGCGUUAAUCGGAAUUACUGGGCGUAAAGCGCACGCAGGCGGUUUGUUAAGUCAGAUGUGAAAUCCCCGGGCUCAACCUGGGAACUGCAUCUGAUACUGGCAAGCUUGAGUCUCGUAGAGGGGGGUAGAAUUCCAGGUGUAGCGGUGAAAUGCGUAGAGAUCUGGAGGAAUACC